GGUGUACGAAUUGCAAAUUGUAUAUAUCAUACUUUGUAGGACAGUUCAAAACGAUUCUGAAAUAUAUGGAAUACCAUGAAUAUUUAAUUUCCACCUCCAGAGAAAACCUGCUGAUAGAUGGCUAUCAAUUUCAAGCAUGUAGGCCUAUUGAUAUAUACAUUAUUUAGAUUAUUUCUAAAAACUGUUUUGUUUUUGCUGUUUUUUUUCUGGGAUUCAGGAGCAUUUUUAUGACCCAAUAUCACAUAGUGGAUUCAUUGAGAUGCGGCUUAGGAAUCUCAGGCGCAAUCUUCAUGAUGAUCAACAUCGGUUUCAGCGCAACCGUAGUCGGCCUACAACAACUAACCCUAGAUCAUCAAUUACAGUGGAGAUGCCUAUAGAAGGGGAGGAGUUGAUAGGUCAGUGUUUCUCCCAGUGCUUUAUAGAUAAGGUGGCUACCUUAACAACACACCCCUGCCACCUUAACUGUACUAAGUUGUUUUCCUCAGACAAUCACCACCUUAACUAAAGCAUUUCCUGUGGGAAACACUGUAGGUGAAUGGAAGAGCAUUAUAAAAAGAAUGAGAGCAUGUCAGGAAAACAUCAGCACCAUCAAAGAAGGCAUGGAAAAAACGUAUAACAACCGAAGACUGUGGAUUACUGCUAGUUCUCCAACAGUGGAGGAAAUCUUUGCAGAGUAUCCUCGCUUUGUGGACAUGCCGUACUUGUUUGAUACAGAAUUUGGGAGGAUCCUUCCUGGUAAAGCUGAUGUCUUCAAUCUAAAAUGGAAAAUGUGGGAGAAAUUAACCAUUACUUUUAUAUUAACUAUGAGUAUUAUCAGGCCUAUAUACAUCAGGCAUAGACAUUAAUGGUGGAAUGUAGAGAAACCACACCUGGACCCAGAGUAAUGGCCUGAUAAGGCACCAAGGACUUUGGGGCCCAGACUACUGACAUCCUCCCAUUUUUAGAUUAACUACAGGAGAUGAGCACAUACGUAAGGGAAUGUAAGGCCAUUUUGAACAUAUACCAGGACGGUCAUAUAUCACAUGCAUGACAGCUCAGUUGGUGUGGAUAAGAGGGACUGGGAUCGGAGCCCCAGUCAGUGUGUCUUUUGCAAAACCACAUGCUCGGCUCUGUUGUACCUAUUUUGUGGGUAACAAUAAAGUCUCUGUCAUUACUUUUUCCGGACUCCCCGAUUUCUAUUGCUCAUAGCUAGUUUAAGUAAAUUAGAUAAGUCGUUAACAAAAAUUGCAACUACAAAAACAACUAUCGUUCCAAAUAUUCUGAAAAUAUCCACAGCGAGUGAACCUUCAGGCCUGCCACCAGUUCCUGCGAAUGACGGUAUGAUGAUUUUCUGUCAAGCUGGUGUCUUACGAAACAACUGACUUGAGUUAAAGAUCUAACCAAAUUGUUCUGUUGCUACAGCGUCUUGCUAUAAAGCGCUUCAAAAGCUCAUCCAGUUGCUGCCUCCAACUUCAUCAGGGAGAGGGAAAGGCUACGGCAAAUGCAGUGUAAAGUCAGCUUUGGCCUACCUCUUGGAUAUAAAGCCGGUAGGUUUGUUUCCUUUGUGUACAUUUAUAUAGGUCUUGUGGAUAUUUUUUUCAAAUGAUUUGGGUGUGCAACGCAGUAUAUCCUGCCCAACUGACAUCUGUGUUUCACUUCUUUGAGCAUGUUUACGAAGUGCCCCUCUCCAGUGCGAAGACAGCUAAGGUUGUGGACCUUAUUUCAAAGAUCCAAGCUAUUAAGUAGCCUAACAAAUAAAUAAUAUGUACGUUUGUCCCAAGUGUAAAACUGAUGUGAAAGAUGUCAGAAAACUCAUCCGCCAUCUUAGAAAUGUACAUGCGCUCUCUGAUGGACAAGAGUAUACAAUUGUUUGCAGUCAGAACUUUUGCCAACGAACAUACCAAAACUUCAACUCCUACGCUAGGCACCUAGGCUAAGAGAAACCAUCCCCAGGGUGUACCUAAUUCUCAAAACACAAAUACAAAUUUUAUUGACAUAUCACUGGACUUUUCACCACUGUGCUCUAAUUCAGUUGAUGGGAAUCAUGAGACUGAUGAGGACCUUUCACUAGACAGCACUUAAAACUAUCAACAACGCGCGGCAGAAUUUGCUGCAAAAAUAUAUUCAUCUUCUAAUUCUAUCCUCAUUGAUGUGCAAAGAAAUAUUACAUGCACUAAAGAGCUACUCAGCAGGGCACUGGAUAGGUUGCAAGAGAAAACUGUAUCGUUACUUAAGUGUCACAUAUACCUUCUAAUGACAUGGCUGUCCAAAGUCUGAUGGGGGAAUUUGAAACGGGGAGGAAUAUGUUUAAAGGAAUAAAUACCAACUAUAAGAUGACUAAAUAUUUUUCAAUUUUGUGAAUAUUUCCAAAACCUUAUCAUGUAAACACCAAAUGCAACAAAUGUUCAACUGGAAAAUGGGUAGCCCUUUGACCGAUGAAUUGACAGUGUCCGACAGCUCUUCAGUUAUGAUUGGUUCUCUUGAAGAACAUUGCACUUUGCUUGAAAAUCUAAAAAUGAUUGGCCGUGAUGUUACUUUAUGCAGCCGAAUUAAUGUUUCCCAAUCAGUUUCUAUGUUUGGCCAAGAUUAUCAGAUUGGUUGUUGUAAAGUUAUUAUAAAUAAACAACUUUGGAUAUUUCUAAGUAGGUGACUUUAUUUUACCAGCCUUCAUGGUUCUCCCGUUACACUUCUUCUGUCGUUCUCAAGUCUAGCUCCAUCUGAUCUAGUAAUCAACACUGCCACCUAGUGGUCAUAACAUAUAACAUAUAUACAGAACAUGCAUAUCAUUACAUCCUCCUUUCUCUGAGGUUAAAAGUCAAAUAAUAGUAGGCCCAAGGCUUUAUCAAGACUAGACCUGGAAGCUACACCUAAACCCAUUAAAGGGCUACCACACCUAAAGCUUUUCUUACAGGUAAACAAGGUAAACAAUUAAUCCCUUCUUUCAGAUAAGAGGUUUUAGAAAGUAACCUUUAACUGUACUAUUUU
Molecule: long non-coding RNA, 2964 nt
Organism: Gadus morhua (Atlantic cod)
Lineage: Eukaryota; Metazoa; Chordata; Actinopteri; Gadiformes; Gadidae
Source: Ensembl